Molecule: ribosomal RNA, 254 nt
Filed under: uncultured bacterium
Lineage: Bacteria
Description: partial 16S ribosomal RNA
Rfam family: Bacterial small subunit ribosomal RNA
Source: RNAcentral
UACGGAGGGUGCGAGCGUUGCUCGGAAUUAUUGGGCGUAAAGCGUACGCAGGCGGCUCGGCAAGUCGAGUGUGAAAUCCCGGGGCUCAACUCCGGAACUGCAUCCGAUACUGCCGGGCUUGAGUGCGGGAGAGGGAAGCGGAAUUCCUGGUGUAGAGGUGAAAUUCGUAGAUAUCAGGAGGAACACCGGUGGCGAAAGCGGCUUCCUGGCCCGACACUGACGCUCAUGUACGAAAGCGUGGGGGAGCAAACAGG